CCGCAUAUAACAAUCGCUCCACCCCCGUAUUCUCCUGCUCCUAUCCCCUCCAGAAUUCUCGCCACCACCAGAUCGGAGCUCCUCCGAUCCACCCGGCCCAGCCAGGUUGAACGCCGCCCCGUUCUCAUCUGCGAGAUCCCGGUUGCCGCCUCACCCACGACCCUCUCCUCCGCGGCCCAGUCCGCUCGAACGCCGCCGCCCUCCUCACUGGCGGGAUCGGAGCCGCCAGCCUCACCCGCGGGAUCGGAGCCGCCGGCCACCGCCCACCUUGCCUGAAGGAUCGGAUACCACUACUCUUCUACACCGACCCAUCACCGGCCACCGGUGGUGCAUCACCUGCUUCGCCUUACUGUGCCGUUUCGAAGAAGCUGUGGGUGGAAAUUCCCGAACUGCUGCGCCGAUGGUGGUGUGAUGCCGGCGAUGGGUCAGCUGGCAAUUCGAUAUGCGAGGAUGUCGCUGCCAACUCGGGAGAGAAAAUGGAACAUAUAUCAAUCUUGUAAUGGAUGUUCGGGAUGCUUUUGAGGGAAAUGAUUUGGUCAAAUGUUGAUUGCGAGGGUUUGGAACCAAGUGACAGCAAAAAAAAUGAAGCAAAGCUGAAGGUUCUCAUCCCCCCAUAGCCAUUAUGUUACCAUGUAGUUACAGAUGAUGGAAAUAUAUCAUGUACUACUUCUGAACCAAAAUAUAAGACAUUUUUGUAGGCUAAACUAGCCUACUAAAACGUCUUAUAUUUUGAUACGGAGGGAGUAUAUACUUUCUUAUACCCUAAACAAAAAAUAUGUGGUUCUCUAUGUGUAGGAUCUUGUUCCUUGUGUUCUCCUGUCAUUUGACAAUGAGCAGAUAUUAAUCUACAGAGGCAGUGAAUGGAACUCUAGAUACUCAGCCUCCCACUAUCACUCCAAAAGUUCAAAAGAAUAAUCUGACAGUGUCAACUGCUUUGAGUAACUCAGGAUGGGUGGUUAGAAGAGCUGGAAGGGAAGGCGCAAGAACAUGAUAAGAAGGAUGUUGCACAACAAGAGAAGAUAAAGGAGCUCUAGAUUGUUGUAGAGAAGAUUAUCAGUUUUUACUGGCGGCCGUUAGAAGCUGUACAGAAGAUGAUGCAUUUUAUUAGAUUCAAGUGAGAUUAUUCAGAUUUGCAUAAAAAAGCUGUAUAGAAGUUUAUGCAUUUUUAUUAGAUUCAAGUGAGAUUAUUCAGAUUUGCAUAAAAAGUGCCGAGGAUCGUGCAAAGCUAAAUUAUCUUUGUUGU
Long non-coding RNA from Triticum dicoccoides, 1243 nucleotides. RefSeq lists it as uncharacterized. The record is from RefSeq and is a predicted model, not a curated record. The transcript has 3 exons. NCBI's taxonomy places the organism in Eukaryota, Viridiplantae, Streptophyta, Magnoliopsida, Poales, Poaceae.